This 373-nucleotide ribosomal RNA is filed under the name uncultured organism. RNAcentral describes it as "partial 16S ribosomal RNA". It matches the Rfam family "Bacterial small subunit ribosomal RNA", at positions 527 to 896 of the family's 1533-position model. The record is from RNAcentral.
GUAGGUGGCAAGCGUUGUCCGGAAUUAUUGGGCGUAAAGCGCGCGCAGGCGGUUCUUUAAGUCUGAUGUGAAAGCCCACGGGCUCAACCGUGGAGGGUCAUUGGAAACUGGAGAACUUGAGUAUAGAAGAGGAAAGCGGAAUUCCACGUGUAGCGGUGAAAUGCGUAGAGAUGUGGAGGAACACCAGUGGCGAAGGCGGCUUUCUGGUCUGUAACUGACGCUGAGGCGCGAAAGCGUGGGGAGCAAACAGGAUUAGAUACCCUGGUAGUCCACGCCGUAAACGAUGAGUGCUAAGUGUUAGGGGGUUUCCGCCCCUUAGUGCUGCAGCUAACGCAUUAAGCACUCCGCCUGGGGAGUACGGACGCAAAGGCUG